RNAcentral lists this transfer RNA (70 nucleotides) under Urocitellus parryii (Arctic ground squirrel). RNAcentral's name for it is "Spermophilus parryii (Arctic ground squirrel) tRNA". It matches the Rfam family "tRNA". From Rfam's summary of the family: Transfer RNA (tRNA) molecules are approximately 80 nucleotides in length. Their secondary structure includes four short double-helical elements and three loops (D, anti-codon, and T loops). RNAcentral also lists the same sequence under 2 other names. The record is from Rfam by way of RNAcentral. Lineage: Eukaryota; Metazoa; Chordata; Mammalia; Rodentia; Sciuridae.
GGGGUUGUGGCUCAGUGGUAGAGCAGUCGCCAGCACGGGUGAGGCCCUGGGUUCAAUCCUCAGCACCCCA